Molecule: ribosomal RNA, 427 nt
Filed under: uncultured bacterium
Lineage: Bacteria
Description: partial 16S ribosomal RNA
Rfam family: Bacterial small subunit ribosomal RNA
Source: RNAcentral
UGGGGAAUAUUGCACAAUGGGCGCAAGCCUGAUGCAGCCAUGCCGCGUGUAUGAAGAAGGCCUUCGGGUUGUAAAGUACUUUCAGCGGGGAGGAAGGCGAUAAGGUUAAUAACCUUGUCGAUUGACGUUACCCGCAGAAGAAGCACCGGCUAACUCCGUGCCAGCAGCCGCGGGAAUACGGAGGGUGCACGCGUUAAUCGGAAUUACUGGGCGUAAAGCGCACGCAGGCGGUCUGUCAAGUCGGAUGUGAAAUCCCCGGGCUCAACCUGGGAACUGCAUUCGAAACUGGCAGGCUAGAGUCUUGUAGAGGGGGGUAGAAUUCCAGGUGUAGCGGUGAAAUGCGUAGAGAUCUGGAGGAAUACCGGUGGCGAAGGCGGCCCCCUGGACAAAGACUGACGCUCAGGUGCGAAAGCGUGGGGAGCAAACA